CCUANGGGAGGCUGCAGUGGGGAAUAUUGGACAAUGGGGGCAACCCUGAUCCAGCCAUGCCGCGUGAGUGAUGAAGGCCUUCGGGUUGUAAAGCUCUUUUGGCGGGGACGAUGAUGACGGUACCCGCAGAAUAAGCCCCGGCUAACUUCGUGCCAGCAGCCGCGGUAAGACGAAGGGGGCUAGCGUUGUUCGGAAUUACUGGGCGUAAAGCGAGUGUAGGUGGCUAUCCAAGUUGGAUGUGAAAGCCUUGGGCUUAACCCAAGAAAUGCAUUCAGGACUGGAUGGCUAGAGGACCGGAGAGGAUAGUGGAAUUCCCAGUGUAGUGGUGAAAUACGUAGAGAUUGGGAAGAACACCAGUGGCGAAGGCGGCUAUCUGGACGGUUUCUGACACUAAGACUCGAAAGCGUGGGGAGCAAACAGGAUUAGAUACCCGUNUANUC
This 440-nucleotide ribosomal RNA is filed under the name uncultured bacterium. Its description in RNAcentral is "bacterial SSU rRNA". It matches the Rfam family "Bacterial small subunit ribosomal RNA", at positions 338 to 795 of the family's 1533-position model. The record is from RNAcentral.